RNAcentral lists this ribosomal RNA (396 nucleotides) under uncultured bacterium. RNAcentral describes it as "partial 16S ribosomal RNA". It matches the Rfam family "Bacterial small subunit ribosomal RNA", at positions 523 to 918 of the family's 1533-position model. The record is from RNAcentral.
AUACGUAGGGGGCGAGCGUUGUCCGGAAUGAUUGGGCGUAAAGGGCGCGUAGGCGGCGCGGUAAGUCUGGAGUGAAAGUCCUGCUUUCAAGGUGGGAAUUGCUUUGGAUACUGCCGCGCUUGAGUGCAGGAGAGGUUAUCGGAAUUCCCGGUGUAGCGGUGAAAUGCGUAGAGAUCGGGAGGAACACCAGUGGCGAAGGCGGGUAACUGGACUGCAACUGACGCUGAGGCGCGAAAGUGUGGGGAGCAAACAGGAUUAGAUACCCUGGUAGUCCACGCUGUAAACGAUGAAUACUAGGUGUGGGGGGACUGACCCCCUCCGUGCCGCAGUUAACACAAUAAGUAUUCCACCUGGGGAGUACGAUCGCAAGAUUGAAACUCAAAGGAAUUGACGGGG